This 73-nucleotide transfer RNA is filed under the name Ovis aries (sheep). It matches the Rfam family "tRNA". From Rfam's summary of the family: Transfer RNA (tRNA) molecules are approximately 80 nucleotides in length. Their secondary structure includes four short double-helical elements and three loops (D, anti-codon, and T loops). Further hydrogen bonds mediate the characteristic L-shaped molecular structure. tRNAs have two regions of fundamental functional importance: the anti-codon, which is responsible for specific mRNA codon recognition, and the 3' end, to which the tRNAs corresponding amino acid is attached (by aminoacyl-tRNA synthetases). tRNAs cope with the degeneracy of the genetic code in two manners: having more than one tRNA (with a specific anti-codon) for a particular amino acid; and 'wobble' base-pairing, i.e. permitting non-standard base-pairing at the 3rd anti-codon position. The record is from Rfam by way of RNAcentral. Lineage: Eukaryota; Metazoa; Chordata; Mammalia; Artiodactyla; Bovidae.
UCCCUGGUGGUCCAGUGGUUAAGACACCACCCUCCUAACGCAGGGGGCUCAGGUUCAAUCCCUGAUUAGGGAA